UGGGGAAUAUUGCACAAUGGGCGCAAGCCUGAUGCAGCCAUGCCGCGUGUGUGAAGAAGGCCUUCGGGUUGUAAAGCACUUUCAGCGGGGAGGAAGGCGGUGAGGUUAAUAACCUCACCGAUUGACGUUACCCGCAGAAGAAGCACCGGCUAACUCCGUGCCAGCAGCCGCGGUAAUACGGAGGGUGCAAGCGUUAAUCGGAAUUACUGGGCGUAAAGCGCACGCAGGCGGUCUGUCAAGUCGGAUGUGAAAUCCCCGGGCUCAACCUGGGAACUGCAGUAGAAACGGGCAGGCUAGAGUCUUGUAGAGGGGGGUAGAAUUCAAGGUGUAGCGGUGAAAUGCGUAGAGAUCUGGAGGAAUACCGGUGGCGAAGGCGGCCCCCUGGACAAAGACUGACGCUCAGGUGCGAAAGCGUGGGGAGCAAACAGG
Molecule: ribosomal RNA, 429 nt
Filed under: Chloroflexota bacterium
Lineage: Bacteria; Bacillati; Chloroflexota
Description: Chloroflexi bacterium partial 16S ribosomal RNA
Rfam family: Bacterial small subunit ribosomal RNA
Source: RNAcentral